UCAUUUUUUCUUCCUUUUUUUUUUCAAAUUACGUUCUGAAUUUUUUUUUCUUGGUAAGUAUCCGUGUUAUUCAAUCCUUUCAUUUAUGCUUAGGCAGCUGCGUCACACGUACUAAUGAAGUGCUGGAAGUGCCUCUCAGGGAGCCCCUUUUUAAGAGUAUGCCAUAAUUUUGAAUAAAGAAAUAGAAAGGGGCAAUUGACAGAAGACUCCAUGUCUUAUACAUCACUUGCACAUCAACAAGCUGCACCCAAUAAACAGUUUGUCUCAGAUGAAGGAAUCUAAAUGAUCUGUUGGUUGUGCCCAGGGUCACUAUUUAAUAGAUCUGAAAACCCAAAAGACUCUUCCUGACAUCUCCAGAUACUAAACAUGUGACUGGUAUAGGGCACAGCCAGAUAAGUUCAGUAGCAACACAA
This is a non-coding RNA of Chrysemys picta bellii (western painted turtle), 413 nucleotides long. The record is from RefSeq and is a predicted model, not a curated record. NCBI's taxonomy places the organism in Eukaryota, Metazoa, Chordata, Testudines, Emydidae.